This 456-nucleotide ribosomal RNA is filed under the name uncultured bacterium. RNAcentral describes it as "bacterial SSU rRNA". It matches the Rfam family "Bacterial small subunit ribosomal RNA", at positions 29 to 479 of the family's 1533-position model. The record is from RNAcentral.
AUUGAACGCUGGCGGAAUGCUUUACACAUGCAAGUCGAGCGGCAGCGCGGGGCAACCUGGCGGCGAGCGGCGAACGGGUGAGUAAUACAUCGGAACGUACCCAGUUGUGGGGGAUAGCCCGGCGAAAGCCGGAUUAAUACCGCAUACGACCUGAGGGUGAAAGGGGGGGAGUCGCAAGACCUCUCGCAGUUGGAGCGGCCGAUGGCGGAUUAGCUAGUUGGUAGGGUAAAGGCCUACCAAGGCGACGAUCCGUAGCUGGUCUGAGAGGACGACCAGCCACACUGGAACUGAGACACGGUCCAGACUCCUACGGGAGGCAGCAGUGGGGAAUUUUGGACAAUGGGGGCAACCCUGAUCCAGCCAUUCCGCGUGAGUGAAGAAGGCCUUCGGUUGUAAGACUCUUUCGGUCAGGAACGAAAUUAGCCGCUUCUAAUAAAGACGGUAGAUGACGGUACC